GACGAACGCUGGCGGCGUGCUUAACACAUGCAAGUCGAACGGAAAGGCCCUGCUUUUGUGGGGUGCUCGAGUGGCGAACGGGUGAGUAACACGUGAGUAACCUGCCCUUGACUUUGGGAUAACUUCAGGAAACUGGGGCUAAUACCGGAUAGGAGCUCCUGCUGCAUGGUGGGGGUUGGAAAGUUUCGGCGGUUGGGGAUGGACUCGCGGCUUAUCAGCUUGUUGGUGGGGUAGUGGCUUACCAAGGCUUUGACGGGUAGCCGGCCUGAGAGGGUGACCGGCCACAUUGGGACUGAGAGACGGACCAGACUCCUACGGGAGGCAGAAGUGGGGAAUAUGGCACAAUGGGCGGAAGCCUGAUGCAGCAACGCCGCGUGCGGGAUGACGGCCUUCGGGUUGUAAACCGCUUUCGCCUGUGACGAAGCGUGAGUGACGGUAAUGGGUAAAGAAGCACCGGCUAACUACGUG
RNAcentral lists this ribosomal RNA (468 nucleotides) under uncultured bacterium. RNAcentral's name for it is "partial 16S ribosomal RNA". It matches the Rfam family "Bacterial small subunit ribosomal RNA", at positions 28 to 507 of the family's 1533-position model. The record is from RNAcentral.